This 465-nucleotide ribosomal RNA is filed under the name Vreelandella stevensii. RNAcentral describes it as "partial 16S ribosomal RNA". It matches the Rfam family "Bacterial small subunit ribosomal RNA", at positions 338 to 795 of the family's 1533-position model. The record is from RNAcentral. Lineage: Bacteria; Pseudomonadati; Pseudomonadota; Gammaproteobacteria; Oceanospirillales; Halomonadaceae.
CCUACGGGCGGCAGCAGUGGGGAAUAUUGGACAAUGGGCGAAAGCCUGAUCCAGCCAUGCCGCGUGUGUGAAGAAGGCCUUCGGGUUGUAAAGCACUUUCAGUGGGGAAGAAAGCCUUGGGGCUAAUACCCUCGAGGAAGGACAUCACCCACAGAAGAAGCACCGGCUAACUCCGUGCCAGCAGCCGCGGUAAUACGGAGGGUGCGAGCGUUAAUCGGAAUUACUGGGCGUAAAGCGCGCGUAGGCGGUCUGAUAAGCCGGUUGUGAAAGCCCCGGGCUCAACCUGGGAACGGCAUCCGGAACUGUCAGGCUAGAGUGCAGGAGAGGAAGGUAGAAGUCCCGGUGUAGCGGUGAAAUGCGUAGAGAUCGGGAGGAAUACCAGUGGCGAAGGCGGCCUUCUGGACUGACACUGACGCUGAGGUGCGAAAGCGUGGGUAGCAAACAGGAUUAGAUACCCCUGUAGUC